RNAcentral lists this ribosomal RNA (510 nucleotides) under uncultured bacterium. RNAcentral describes it as "bacterial SSU rRNA". It matches the Rfam family "Bacterial small subunit ribosomal RNA", at positions 791 to 1307 of the family's 1533-position model. The record is from RNAcentral.
UAGUCCACGCCGUAAACGAUGGAUACUAGCUGUUCGGAACUUGUUCUGAGUGGCUAAGCGAAAGUGAUAAGUAUCCCACCUGGGGAGUACGUUCGCAAGAAUGAAACUCAAAGGAAUUGACGGGGGCCCGCACAAGCGGUGGAGCAUGUGGUUUAAUUCGAUGAUACGCGAGGGAACCUUACCAGGGCUUAAAUGUAGAGUGACAGAUUUGGAAACAGAUUUUUCUCGGACACUUUACAAGGUGCUGCAUGGUUGUCGUCAGCUCGUGCCGUGAGGUGUCAGGUUAAGUCCUAUAACGAGCGCAACCCCUGUUGUUAGUUGCCAGCACAUUAUGGUGGGAACUCUAACAAGACUGCCGGUGCAAACCGUGAGGAAGGUGGGGAUGACGUCGAAAUCAUCACGGCCCUUACGUCCUGGGCUACACACGUGCUACAAUGUAGGUACAGAGAGCAGCCACUGCGUGAGCAGGAGCGAAUCUAUAAAACCGGUCACAGUUCGGAUCGGGGUCUG